AUUGAACGCUGGCGGCAGGCCUAACACAUGCAAGUCGAACGAUUGGCGGACGGGUGAGUACUGUCUGGGAAACUGCCUGAUUGAGAGGGAUAACUACUGGAAACUGUAGCUAAUACCGCCUACCAUCCUAUGUUCCCCGAUGGGCUUAGCUAGUAGGUGGGGUAACGGCUCACCUAGGCGACGAUCCCUAGCUGGUCUGAGAGGAUGACCAGACACACUGGAACUGAGCAACGGUCCAGACUCCUACGGUAGGCAGCAGUUGGGAAUAUUGCACAAUGGGCGCAAGCCUGAUGCAGCCAUGCCGCGUGUAUGAAGAAGGCCUUCGGGUUGUAAAGUACUUUCAGCGGGGAGGCGUUACCCGCAGAAGAAGCACCGGCUAACUCCGUGCCAGCAGCCGCGGUAAUUC
This 406-nucleotide ribosomal RNA is filed under the name uncultured bacterium. Its description in RNAcentral is "partial 16S ribosomal RNA". It matches the Rfam family "Bacterial small subunit ribosomal RNA", at positions 30 to 526 of the family's 1533-position model. The record is from RNAcentral.